RNAcentral lists this ribosomal RNA (484 nucleotides) under uncultured bacterium. Its description in RNAcentral is "partial 16S ribosomal RNA". It matches the Rfam family "Bacterial small subunit ribosomal RNA", at positions 30 to 507 of the family's 1533-position model. The record is from RNAcentral.
AUUGAACGCUGGCGGCAUGCUUUACACAUGCCAGUCGAACGGCAGCGCGGGCUUCGGCCUGGCGGCGAGUGGCGAACGGGUGAGUAAUACAUCGGAACGUGCCCAGUAGUGGGGGAUAGCUCGGCGAAAGCCGGAUUAAUACCGCAUACGACCUUAUGUUGAAAGCGGGGGAUCUUCGGACCUCGCGCUAUUGUAGCGGCCGAUGGCAGAUUAGCUAGUUGGUUGGGUAAAGGCCUACCAAGGCGACGAUCUGUAGCUGGUCUGAGAGGACGACCAGCCACACUGGGACUGAGACACGGCCCAGACUCCUACGGGAGGCAGCAGUGGGGAAUUUUGGACAAUGGGCGAAAGCCUGAUCCAGCAAUGCCGCGUGUGUGAUGAAGGCCUUCGGGUUGUAAAGCACUUUUGGCGGGAACGAAAAGGACUGUGCCAAUACCACGGUUCGAUGACGGUACCCGCAGAAUAAGCACCGGCUAACUACGUG